RNAcentral lists this ribosomal RNA (253 nucleotides) under uncultured bacterium. RNAcentral describes it as "partial 16S ribosomal RNA". It matches the Rfam family "Bacterial small subunit ribosomal RNA", at positions 524 to 776 of the family's 1533-position model. The record is from RNAcentral.
UACGUAGGGGGCUAGCGUUGUCCGGAAUCAUUGGGCGUAAAGAGCGUGUAGGCGGUCCGGUAAGUCCGCUGUGAAAGUCGGGGGCUCAACCCUCGAAUGCCGGUGGAUACUGUCGGGCUAGAGUGCGGAAGAGGCGAGUGGAAUUCCUGGUGUAGCGGUGAAAUGCGCAGAUAUCAGGAGGAACACCUAUAGCGAAGGCAGCUCGCUGGGACGUUACUGACACUGAGGCGCGAAAGCGUGGGGAGCGAACAGG